RNAcentral lists this ribosomal RNA (503 nucleotides) under uncultured Thermocrispum sp. RNAcentral's name for it is "bacterial SSU rRNA". It matches the Rfam family "Bacterial small subunit ribosomal RNA", at positions 1 to 507 of the family's 1533-position model. The record is from RNAcentral. Lineage: Bacteria; Bacillati; Actinomycetota; Actinomycetes; Pseudonocardiales; Pseudonocardiaceae.
AGUAGUUUCGACGUCCGUGGCUACGAGGACGACGCUGGCGGCGUGCUUAACACAUGCAAGUCGAACGCUGAAGCCUGGUCUUUUGGCUGGGUGGAUGAGUGGCGAACGGGUGAGUAACACGUGAGCAACCUGCCCUCAUCUCUGGGAUAACUCCGGGAAACCGGGGCUAAUACCGGAUAGGACUUCUCACCGCAUGGUCGGGGGGUGGAAAGGGGUUUUUCCGGAUCGGGGAUGGGCUCGCGGCCUAUCAGCUUGUUGGUCGGGGUGAUGGCCUACCAAGGCGAUGACGGGUAGCCGGCCUGAGAGGGCGACCGGCCACACUGGGACUGAGACACGGCCCAGACGUCCUACGGGAGGCAGCAGUGGGGAAUCUUGCACAAUGGGCGGAAGCCUGAUGCAGCGACGCCGCGUGAGGGAUGACGGCCUUCGGGUUGUAAACCUCUUUCGGCCCUGACGAAGCGAGAGUGACGGUAGGGGCAGAAGAAGCACCGGCCAACUACGUG